UACGGAGGGUGCAAGCGUUAUCCGGAUUCACUGGGUUUAAAGGGAGCGUAGGCGGGCAUGUAAGUCAGUGGUGAAAGCCCUCAGCUUAACUGAGGAACUGCCAUUGAUACUAUAUGUCUUGAAUGUCGUUGAGGUUUGCGGAAUAGGUCAUGUAGCGGUGAAAUGCUUAGAUAUGACCUAGAACACCUAUUGCGAAGGCAGCAGGCUAAACGAAUAUUGACGCUGAGGCUCGAAAGCGUGGGGAUCAAACAGG
Molecule: ribosomal RNA, 253 nt
Filed under: uncultured bacterium
Lineage: Bacteria
Description: partial 16S ribosomal RNA
Rfam family: Bacterial small subunit ribosomal RNA
Source: RNAcentral